This 318-nucleotide long non-coding RNA is filed under the name Setaria italica (foxtail millet). Its description in RNAcentral is "long non-coding RNA (SITA_LNC001004)". The record is from RNAcentral. Lineage: Eukaryota; Viridiplantae; Streptophyta; Magnoliopsida; Poales; Poaceae.
GUGCCCAAGCAAGGUUUCAUGAGUACAAAAGUACCAUAAAGAUAAUUACUUCUGCAAAGUGCAAUGAAGCUUCCCAAAUAUGUACAACAAAAUGGAGAAAGUAAAAUCAUGUGGAAGCUAUCCAUUGGCAGCACAGCCCGUAGUUGAAUCGUGCUCAGCCGCCACUGAGGCAGCAUAGCCAGACUCUAUCGUAGUCGUAGUGAUGGUGUGCCUCUGAAGCUACCGUCAAAUGUGUUGAUCUUUACUGUUUAACAUCGAUGGAGAGAAGCUACGAACGGCCAAGCCACAUUCAAAGAAGAAAAUAUAGCAACACAAGCA